This 23-nucleotide non-coding RNA is filed under the name Arabidopsis thaliana (thale cress). Lineage: Eukaryota; Viridiplantae; Streptophyta; Magnoliopsida; Brassicales; Brassicaceae. The record is from RNAcentral.
GAAAGUAUCAAUGUCCAAUGCCU